UAACCUGCCCAAGAGAUCGGGAUAACACCUGGAAACAGAUGCUAAUACCGGAUAACAACAGAUGAUGCCUAUCAACUGUUUAAAAGAUGGUUCUGCUAUCACUCUUGGAUGGACCUGCGGUGCAUUAGCUAGUUGGUAGGGUAACGGCCUACCAAGGCGAUGAUGCAUAGCCGAGUUGAGAGACUGAUCGGCCACAUUGGGACUGAGACACCGGACCCAAACUCCUACGGGAGGCAGCAGAA
This 242-nucleotide ribosomal RNA is filed under the name uncultured Lactobacillus sp. RNAcentral describes it as "partial 16S ribosomal RNA". It matches the Rfam family "Bacterial small subunit ribosomal RNA", at positions 122 to 354 of the family's 1533-position model. The record is from RNAcentral. Lineage: Bacteria; Bacillati; Bacillota; Bacilli; Lactobacillales; Lactobacillaceae.